Molecule: ribosomal RNA, 253 nt
Filed under: uncultured bacterium
Lineage: Bacteria
Description: partial 16S ribosomal RNA
Rfam family: Bacterial small subunit ribosomal RNA
Source: RNAcentral
UACGGAGGGUGCAAGCGUUAUCCGGAUUCACUGGGCUUAAAGGGUGCGUAGGCGGGUUGGUAAGUCAGUGGUGAAAUCCCCGAGCUUAACUUGGGAACUGCCAUUGAUACUAUCAGUCUUGAAUACCGUGGAGGUUAGCGGAAUAUGUCAUGUAGCGGUGAAAUGCUUAGAUAUGACAUAGAACACCAAUUGCGAAGGCAGCUGGCUACACGAAUAUUGACACUGAGGCACGAAAGCGUGGGGAUCAAACAGG